This 501-nucleotide ribosomal RNA is filed under the name uncultured bacterium. RNAcentral describes it as "partial 16S ribosomal RNA". It matches the Rfam family "Bacterial small subunit ribosomal RNA", at positions 30 to 523 of the family's 1533-position model. The record is from RNAcentral.
AUUGAACGCUGGCGGCAGGCUUAACACAUGCAAGUCGAGCGGAGAUGAGGUGCUUGCACCUUAUCUUAGCGGCGGACGGGUGAGUAAUGCUUAGGAAUCUGCCUAUUAGUGGGGGACAGCAUUCCGAAAGGAAUGCUAAUACCGCAUACGUCCUACGGGAGAAAGCAGGGGAUCUUCGGACCUUGCGCUAAUAGAUGAGCCUAAGUCGGAUUAGCUAGUUGGUGGGGUAAAGGCCUACCAAGGCGACGAUCUGUAGCGGGUCUGAGAGGAUGAUCCGCCACACUGGGACUGAGACACGGCCCAGACUCCUACGGGAGGCAGCAGUGGGGAAUAUUGGACAAUGGGGGAAACCCUGAUCCAGCCAUGCCGCGUGUGUGAAGAAGGCCUUAUGGUUGUAAAGCACUUUAAGCGAGGAGGAGGCUACUGAGACUAAUACUCUUGGAUAGUGGACGUUACUCGCAGAAUAAGCACCGGCUAACUCUGUGCCAGCAGCCGCCGUAA